Xenia sp. Carnegie-2017 is the source of this 139-nucleotide long non-coding RNA. RefSeq lists it as uncharacterized. Lineage: Eukaryota; Metazoa; Cnidaria; Anthozoa; Malacalcyonacea; Xeniidae. The transcript is spliced from 3 exons. The record is from RefSeq and is a predicted model, not a curated record.
CAGGCACCAAAUCAUGGACGAAGUGAUUAUGAUCAUUGUCAAGCUGGAUUUUCUGCUUCUUUAAAAAGGAAUCAACAGGUUGUUAUGGGUGCGGUGAUGUUCAAUAAGCGAGGAAACGUUGGCUUUGAAACACGAGAUU